GGGGAAUUUUGCACAAUGGGCGAAAGCCUGAUGCAACAACGCCGCGUGAGUGACGAAGGCCUUCGGGUUGUAAAGCUCUGUCUUCUGGGACGAUAAUGACGGUACCAGAGGAGGAAGCCACGGCUAACUACGUGCCAGCAGCCGCGGUAAUACGUAGGUGGCAAGCGUUGUCCGGAUUUACUGGGCGUAAAGGAUGCGUAGGCGGAUAUUUAAGUCAGAUGUGAAAAUCCCGGGCUCAACUUGGGAACUGCAUUUGAAACUGGGUAUCUAGAGUGCAGGAGAGGAAAGCGGAAUUCCUAGUGUAGCGGUGAAAUGCGUAGAGAUUAGGAAGAACACCAGUGGCGAAGGCGGCUUUCUGGACUGUAACUGACGCUGAGGCAUGAAAGCGUGGGGAGGAAAC
This 400-nucleotide ribosomal RNA is filed under the name uncultured bacterium. Its description in RNAcentral is "bacterial SSU rRNA". It matches the Rfam family "Bacterial small subunit ribosomal RNA", at positions 356 to 773 of the family's 1533-position model. The record is from RNAcentral.